GAAUGCUGUCAAAUCACGAGAAACAAUGAAUGAAAAGAAGUGGAAAGUAAACAACUUGUAAAUACUGCCCAAACUUUAUGUUUCAUUGUGCUCUGUGGAUCUAAGAGUCAGCCCCCUGACAAACACUGCAUGUUUGCAACCAUCCCUGGCCAAAGCCUGAAACUGUAAGUGAAGGAAAGACUGAGUGGAAAAGGAGCAAAGCCUGCAGGAUCUGCCCAUCAGCCUAUCCUGAGGAGCACUGCAUGCUGCCUCUGUCUCCAUUUUUUGAUACCAGGGAAGAAAUACUUAGGAUGGGGAGAAUCCUCAGCAAAAAUACAAGGACGUGCUAAAUGCCCUCAGGCUCUCGCUGAAGGUUCACUUGAAACCCCGCAUCAUGAAUCUGAGGAGAUUUGUAACAAAAGGUAAAAGAAGGAAACAAACAACAGAAAGACAAUGACUGGAUAUGUAGACUUUGGUUCCUGAAGUCCCCGCCUGGCAGGCUGUGAGAAGACACAGACAUACCAAGGACGAAACAACUACUUUGAAGCAGACCCUCCAGCAGUGUGGAGCAGCUCCAGCAGCUCCCAGGGCUGGCGCACAGCACACAGCACACAGAGCAACCAGAGCCACCACUGCAAAGUGCUGCACAUCAGCCACAACCUGCUGCCCUCUGUGCUCGCCCCAGAUACAACACAAACACAAGACUAACUCCAAGAUGGCAAAGGGAAAGGAAAAUUAACAACGAAAUAAAGACUGUGGAUUAUUAUUUUUACCA
Molecule: long non-coding RNA, 754 nt
Filed under: Chrysolophus pictus (golden pheasant)
Lineage: Eukaryota; Metazoa; Chordata; Aves; Galliformes; Phasianidae
Description: lncRNA (ENSCPIG00010007707.1)
Source: RNAcentral